CCUACGGGCGGCAGCAGUAGGGAAUAUUGCUCAAUGGGGGAAACCCUGAAGCAGCAACGCCGCGUGGAGGAUGAAGGUUUUCGGAUUGUAAACUCCUUUUGUUAGAGAAGAUAAUGACGGUAUCUAACGAAUAAGCACCGGCUAACUCCGUGCCAGCAGCCGCGGGAAUACGGAGGGUGCAAGCGUUACUCGGAAUCACUGGGCGUAAAGAGCGCGUAGGCGGGAUAGCAAGUCAGAUGUGAAAUCCUAUGGCUUAACCAUAGAACUGCAGUUGAAACUGGUAUUCUAGAGUAUGGGAGAGGUAGGUGGAAUGCUUGGUGUAGGGGUAAAAUCCGUAGAGAUCAAGAGGAAUACUCAUUGCGAAGGCGACCUGCUAGAACAUAACUGACGCUGAUGCGCGAAAGCGUGGGGAGCAAACAGGAUUAGAUACCCUGGUAGUC
This 440-nucleotide ribosomal RNA is filed under the name uncultured bacterium. Its description in RNAcentral is "partial 16S ribosomal RNA". It matches the Rfam family "Bacterial small subunit ribosomal RNA", at positions 338 to 795 of the family's 1533-position model. The record is from RNAcentral.